This 665-nucleotide long non-coding RNA is filed under the name Salvia miltiorrhiza (redroot sage). Its description in RNAcentral is "long non-coding RNA (SMIL_LNC006286)". The record is from RNAcentral. Lineage: Eukaryota; Viridiplantae; Streptophyta; Magnoliopsida; Lamiales; Lamiaceae.
GUUGUUCAAUUUCCGAAUGCUGAGUUCCUUGAACACCAUUGCGCGGACCCACAUGGUUGUCUUGAUCUUAUAGAGGUUCUUGAUCUUCUUGAGAUGUUUCCUAAGCUGAAGAUUUUAGAUUUUUGUCAACACCAGGUUAAUUUAUCUUUUGCUUUUCUUAGUCAUUUAAUUCAAUUUCCAGGGUGGGGAUUUUGGAUCAACAUCUUCUAGAGUACUAAAUUUAUUUCUUUCAUAGAUUUUGCAGGAUUUUUCUCCCAUCGUUGAGACGACAUUCCCCAAUCCCUCACUGUUCCAUCUAAAUACAGUUCAGAUUGUCUGGCCUGAAGAAGACCCCUUUAUAAUUCAAUUUAUUGAAUUUAUCUUGCAAAAUGCUCCCUCGCUUGGCAAACUUGUGUUUCGUCUUUCAUCGUUUGCAACUUCUGAUAACCACGACCGUUUCCUAAUGAUAGAAGAGAAGGUGCGAAGCAUGCCGAGAUCCUCCCCAACUGCGGAGGUUAUUAUAAUCGAUAAGCAAGAUUAUUAGAAAGGGAGUCGACAUUUAUUUUUCCCUUAUUCGACUAUUAUAUCAAUCUAUCCCUAUUUUGCUUAUUCGCAACAUUUGUUUAGAUGUGUAUGUUAUGUCUUUAAGCAGCAUUCCUGCUAACGUUCUGAGCAUAAUUAGCUAU